CUGUGGCCAGUGACGAACCGCAUGGCAGGAGCGGGGGAACCACUUUCUCCGGGCGUCGAGAGACGUCCUUGGGGUGAAGCCCUCCGUGGACCGCAACGGUCCGAGUGAAGGCCGGGCGAGUACCUCCAGCCCGAACCCGACAGCUCACCUCGUAGGCGUCGAGAGGUCAA
This 170-nucleotide small RNA is filed under the name Terrabacter sp. Its description in RNAcentral is "c-di-AMP sequence". It matches the Rfam family "c-di-AMP riboswitch aptamer (ydaO/yuaA leader)". From Rfam's summary of the family: This family represents a conserved RNA structure found upstream of the ydaO and yuaA genes in Bacillus subtilis and related genes in other bacteria. The ydaO/yuaA element is thought to act as a genetic "off" switch for the ydaO and yuaA genes in its native state. It is believed that the element may be triggered during osmotic shock leading to activation of ydaO, a predicted amino acid transporter gene, and members of the yuaA-yubG operon which code for KtrA and KtrB K+ transporters. The record is from RNAcentral. Lineage: Bacteria; Bacillati; Actinomycetota; Actinomycetes; Micrococcales; Intrasporangiaceae.